Molecule: long non-coding RNA, 317 nt
Organism: Canis lupus familiaris (dog)
Lineage: Eukaryota; Metazoa; Chordata; Mammalia; Carnivora; Canidae
Exons: 2
Source: RefSeq, a predicted model, not a curated record
CGCCCUCAGCGCCCCCGCGCCCCACGGCAGCCUCCGGGUUAGCCCCUUGCUGCGCGCCCGGGAAGCCGCCGCGGCCCGCGUGGGUGCGGGGCCCUCUGCUGCUGCGCCCCGCAGGCCCUCCCCUCCCUACAGCCCGUUGUGACCACUGAAAGAGAAGAAGAGUGAGAUUCCCACACAAGUGGAGGAAAACAAAUGAAACGGGGGAGGGCUUCAAGAGAAAUAUGAAGAAAGAAAAACCAGAAAGUAUAAAAUAAACUGAUUUUACAAAUACUGCUACCAAUACUGCAAAUAAAUUGAGAUGAAAGUUAAUGGACAAA